UGACUGUUAUACACAUCUUCAUCUGUCACAACCCAUUCUCCUUUGCACCUUUCUUCCACUAGAAUAUUUCUUGGAUUCACUUUCCUGUCUGUGACUCUCAUGGGGACAAUGACCCAUCAUCAUGUCUAUGAAUUUCUCUUUCUUCAAUAACAUAAAACGUUUGAAUAAAUAAAAUAAACAAUUAAUUAAUCUCUCUCAAUCUUUUUUUUUUUCUAUUUUUUUUCUUCAUAUGGUCACUUAUUACAACCUGCGAGUCCUUUUUCGUCUUUACAGUUUUCAUGUCUUUAUAAUAACUCUGGUUGUCUUGCUUCUCCUCAGCGCAGGAAUCGAUACAACAAUACCAGAAUUAGGGUUUCUGGUAGCACCUGCUUUUGAGUUCUUAGCUCUAAUAAGGAAGAAGGAAAAAUGUACAUGUGCAGCUGUUCUAUUAAUAUUGCAGCUUAGUCUAGUCACAUUGGGAGGGAAAGAGAGUGAAGGAGUUUCCCUCAGCCCAUUCAUGGAUAUAAUGAAAGAUUGGGUUGCUGAAUUAACUGAUUCAUUCAUACAAUAGUAUUCAAUUAGGGUAAUAUUGUGUGAAUGAAGAGAGUAUAGUAUCUAUAUUGGAACCCCCUCUUUCUCUGUGCUUGGACUGAAGGGAGCUCCUUCUUUUUCUGUUCCCUCCAUUUGUAUCAUCCAUGUCUCAAAGGGCUUUAUGCAUGUUGUUGUCUAAAGCUUAAUCUACAUAAUAUGAUGCUCGGCACAAAAAAGGUGAGGUCAGUACACUGUAGCUGAUGCUACACUUUGUCUUGUAGCUCUUUGUAAGUAUUUACUCUAGCACAACUGCCAUAGAUUCAGCAAGCAUCUGAACAGUUGCAUAUGAGUUUAAUAGCCUUGUCACCCCACUUGGUACUGUUUUUACACGAAAAAAAUCAUGAUCUCCGAUAUAUAUAUAUAUAUAUAUAUAUAUAUAUUAAUUUCUUUCGUGAAGUAGAUAAUGAUACAGUGUGUCACUUUGCUUGUUAAUUUUUAUUAGGUACAAGUUUUUUUUUUUUUUUUUCUCUCAACACUUUUCUGAGUUCUUUCUUUGGGGGUUGGGAAAGCAAAAUUUUAGGUAAAAGUUGGUUAACAGUUCACUUGUAUCUGUACCACUCACUGGAAUCGUUGCAGCUGUCUAUUCUUUUCCAUUUUA
Molecule: long non-coding RNA, 1168 nt
Organism: Glycine soja
Lineage: Eukaryota; Viridiplantae; Streptophyta; Magnoliopsida; Fabales; Fabaceae
Exons: 2
Source: RefSeq, a predicted model, not a curated record